RNAcentral lists this unclassified non-coding RNA (387 nucleotides) under soil metagenome. RNAcentral's name for it is "partial contains 5.8S ribosomal RNA, internal transcribed spacer 2, and large subunit ribosomal RNA". The stretch from base 1 to 120 matches the Rfam family "5.8S ribosomal RNA", at positions 35 to 154 of the family's 154-position model. The record is from RNAcentral.
GAUGAAGAACGUAGCGAAAUGCGAUAAGUAAUGUGAAUUGCAGAAUUCAGUGAAUCAUCGAAUCUUUGAACGCACCUUGCACCCUUUGGUAUUCCGAAGGGUAUGCUCGUUUGAGUGUCAUUGUACUCUCACACUUCUAAUUCCUUUCGGGAUUGGGAGCGGUGGACUUGGGUGUUGCUGCUUUAGUUGUGGCUCACCUCAAAUAAGUUAGUGCAACUCUUGGUUGGACAUAGUACGGCGUGAUAAGUGUCUUCGCCGGCGCCUCUGUAAGGAGGGUGGCCGAUCGGGAGCUCUGUGCUUCAAACCGUCUUCGGACAAUCUUUGACAACUUGACCUCAAAUCGAGUAGGACUACCCGCUGAACUUAAGCAUAUCGAUAAGCGGAGGA